GCCCUUAGAGUUUGAUCCUGGCUCAGAUUGAACGCUGGCGGCAGGCCUAACACAUGCAAGUCGAGCGGUAGAGAGAAGCUUGCUUCUCUUGAGAGCGGCGGACGGGUGAGUAAUGCCUAGGAAUCUGCCUGGUAGUGGGGGACAACGUUCGGAAACGGACGCUAAUACCGCAUACGUCCUACGGGAGAAAGCAGGGGACCUUCGGGCCUUGCGCUAUCAGAUGAGCCUAGGUCGGAUUAGCUAGUUGGUGAGGUAAUGGCUCACCAAGGCGACGAUCCGUAACUGGUCUGAGAGGAUGAUCAGUCACACUGGAACUGAGACACGGUCCAGACUCCUACGGGAGGCAGCAGUGGGGAAUAUUGGGCAAUGGGCGAAAGCCUGAUCCAGCCAUGCCGCGUGUGUGAAGAAGGUCUUCGGAUUGUAAAGCACUUUAAGUUGGGAGGAAGGGUUGUAGAUUAAUACUCUGCAAUUUUGACGUUACCGACAGAAAAGCACCGGUAUCAGUUUA
RNAcentral lists this ribosomal RNA (508 nucleotides) under uncultured bacterium. RNAcentral's name for it is "bacterial SSU rRNA". It matches the Rfam family "Bacterial small subunit ribosomal RNA", at positions 1 to 505 of the family's 1533-position model. The record is from RNAcentral.